This is a long non-coding RNA of Sebastes umbrosus (honeycomb rockfish), 1583 nucleotides long. RefSeq lists it as uncharacterized. The record is from RefSeq and is a predicted model, not a curated record. The transcript has 3 exons. NCBI's taxonomy places the organism in Eukaryota, Metazoa, Chordata, Actinopteri, Perciformes, Sebastidae.
UUAAACCUGAAGACACACCUGCUCUGUUCAUGUGAGCUGAGGCUGACACACAGGCCGACACCCUUUUGCUCAUAACAGCGUGUGAGUGUCUGUGAGGGCGAAGGUGUGUGUUCACUGCUCUCCUCUAAGAGAAGUCCUCUCUGCAAACAGAAAAAGAUUCAAACCGACGGAGGGGCGACUCUGAAAAGCAAAGGAUCUGAUCCUCAAGCCAUUAUACUCCACUUGCCUUUUGUCAAAAAAACACCCCAAAAAAACCCAAGCAUCAUGGGAAAAGGUCAGAGCGAGACGUGGGAUGAAAAGCAGCAUGACACGAGACAAACUCAGCCUCGGAAACAAGAGAACACCGAGAGUAGAAGCUCAGGGAGCAAGUGUCCCAAGUGCUGCUUGAAAACAAGGGACUGUCUGAUGAGCGCGGAGUGCGGGAGGGCACUUCAGAUCUCUCAGGUGGUCGCCAUGUGUGGAAUGUGCAUCCGCUGGUUCGUAUAACCUAACCUUGGCCAUCAGGACCAGCUUUUACCAGACUGUGUUGAUUCUCAGCAUCCCCCAGCACCCUUCAGGAGAGUCGUGCCAUAUGGUUUUCUUCUCAUGUGAGAUGAAAAAUGUCCACUUUGGGUCCAUUUCAUCAGCUAAAGCUCUCUUUAACCCUCUAUCCUCAAGUUAUUUAUUUAACAUGAACAAUUCACGGUCUGUAUAGAAAGACAAUCAUGAUGAAUGAAUGGAUGAAUGAAUGUGACUUUGGUCUGCUUAUCUCUGUGGAAGGUUUAUCUGGAUGUCUAUCUGAUUGAUCAAUAUGAUGAAGGCAAUCCAGAUGUUUAUAUUUAUAUUUAUAGUUAAGCAGUUUUCAAUAAUAAUAUAAAAUAACUGUAAUAGUAUGAUAGUAAUGAAAAAAAGUUAACUUGACGCAACCCAGUCGCCAGAGAAAAUGUUGGCAUUUUACAUUUCUGCAAACCACGGGAUGCUGUGAAUGUCAAUGUUUCUGAACAUAGCGUGACAACGCAAUGUGACAACGCAAUGUAACAACGCAACGUAACAACGCAAAGUAAUAACAUAGCGUAACACAACAACCGCAACAACGUCACUAGUGUGAAUAAAUAACUGCCCUAAGCUGACUUUCUUACAUAAAGUUACGCAACAACCGUAACAACCGUAACAACGUUACCUAACAAGCGAUAACUCACUUUCGGUUUUCACACGGGACACGAACAGUGGUCUCCUGGGUGAAAGUCCAGUAUUUGUUUGGCCCAUACACCACCUCUCCCAUCCGCCCCAGAAGACUUUCUCGCUUGUUAUACUCUUUAUUAAACCACGCAACUUUCAAUAACGCUCACUCGUUGUACUAUAUCACUGGCUCUGCCCAAAUGCAAAACCGUCGACAUUCAACAUAUCCCUGGUUUGCAGAAACGUACAACACCAACAUUUUUUCCUGGCGACUGGGCUGACUUGACGAUGUGCAAAGGAAUAUAUUCUACAGUGUACCUUCAACAUUUUCUCUUAAAAUAUGAGAAUGAUGACCGAAAAGUAGGGAAAAACUGUGACAUCUGAUCUAAUGAAAAACUGUAAAUAAAGCUUUCUGUAACAGCAAG